UACGUAGGGUGCAAGCAUUAAUCGGAAUUAUUGGGCGUAAAGGGCGCGUAGGCGGAAACGCAAGUCAGAUGUGAAAUUCCAAAGCUCAACUUUGGAGCUGCAUUUGAAACUGCGAUUCUAGGAGGUAAUACGGAGAAAGCGGAAUUCCACGUGUAGCGGUGAAAUGCGUAGAUAUGUGGAAGAACACCGGUGGCGAAAGCGGCUUUCUAGUUAAAACCUGACGCUGAGGCGCGAGAGCAAGGGGAGCAAACAGG
This 254-nucleotide ribosomal RNA is filed under the name uncultured bacterium. RNAcentral describes it as "partial 16S ribosomal RNA". It matches the Rfam family "Bacterial small subunit ribosomal RNA", at positions 524 to 776 of the family's 1533-position model. The record is from RNAcentral.